This 253-nucleotide ribosomal RNA is filed under the name uncultured bacterium. RNAcentral's name for it is "partial 16S ribosomal RNA". It matches the Rfam family "Bacterial small subunit ribosomal RNA", at positions 524 to 776 of the family's 1533-position model. The record is from RNAcentral.
UACGGAGGAUCCAAGCGUUAUCCGGAUUUAUUGGGCGUAAAGCGCGUGUAGGCGGCGACUCAAGUCGGCCGUGAAAUCUCCGGGCUCAACUCGGAGGGGUCGGGCGAAACUGAGCCGCUCGAGGCGAGCAGUGGGCAGUGGAAUUCCGGGUGUAGUGGUGGAAUGCGUAGAGAUCCGGAGGAACACCAGUGGCGAAGGCGACUGCCUGGGCUUGGCCUGACGCUGAGACGCGAAAGCGUGGGGAGCAAUCCGG